RNAcentral lists this unclassified non-coding RNA (339 nucleotides) under soil metagenome. Its description in RNAcentral is "partial contains 5.8S ribosomal RNA, internal transcribed spacer 2, and large subunit ribosomal RNA". The stretch from base 1 to 120 matches the Rfam family "5.8S ribosomal RNA", at positions 35 to 154 of the family's 154-position model. The record is from RNAcentral.
GAUGAAGAACGUAGCGAAAUGCGAUACGUAGUGUGAAUUGCGGAAUUCAGUGAAUCAUCGAAUCUUUGAACGCACAUUGCACCUCUCGGUAUUCCGGGAGGUAUGCCUGUUCGAGCGUCAUUUGUACCCUCAAGCUCUGCUUGGUGUUGGGUGUUUGUUCCGCCUCUGUGUGUGAACUCGCCUCAAAACAAUUGGCAGCCGGCGUACUUGUUUCGGAGCGCAGCACAUUUUGCGAUCCAGAUCGACGUACAGCGGCAUCCAAGAAGCCUUAUUUAACGCUCUUGACCUCGGAUCAGGUAGGGAUACCCGCUGAACUUAAGCAUAUCAAUAAGCGGAGGA